CAAUAGAAACAGGAACAACAUUUCGAAGUUGGGAACCAGUUGAAGGUCUGGACUGGUGACCACGAACACGAUUUGACUUUUUUGGGAACAUAAAUUCAUUAUCUCCAAAUUCGCCAGAGGGCGUCUUUGGCAAAGGAGGUGGGCUAAAUAUACGUGGAACUGCUGGUAAAUCAUCUAAAUCAUCAUGUGCAAGACUGGCUAAAGUGUCGACUUUACCAAACCGUAAGCCAGGCGGAGGAAGAGCACGCGCACUGGUGGAAGGGUCAACUUCAUUCUGCUUAUCCUCGUCAAUACUGUCCUCAGUGACCUCAGAAAUGCGACUGGGAAGUUUGCGCUCUAUGGGUUCAAACGACUUGGAGGUAAAAUCGGGCGAAUGCCAGGUGCGAGGAGGCGUAAUUGGUGAGUUAGCAGCCGAUUCUACAUCAGCUGUAGCACCGGCACCAGCUUCUUUCGGGGGAUCAAUUCCAUCAAUUACUUUACGAACAGCACGAGCAGGAUCCAGCAAAGAAGUUGGGGAAGGAGUUACCACUGAAGAGCUAUCUUGUGGAGCCAUGAGACGAGUGACUUGUGGA
Molecule: non-coding RNA, 572 nt
Organism: Schizosaccharomyces pombe (fission yeast)
Lineage: Eukaryota; Fungi; Ascomycota; Schizosaccharomycetes; Schizosaccharomycetales; Schizosaccharomycetaceae
Source: the annotation of a GenBank genome assembly